UUGGGGGCCCGUGGGCAGAGCCUUAAGUGCCAAGAAAAUCUCCGGGACUGGACCACCCGAGCCACUGCGCUUUUAGGCAGGUGAUCUACCAUUCCUGGAGGAAGGGCAUGUACCAUUAAACUCCGCCAUUUUGCCUCUUGGUGCAUAAGCUUGAGCCCACUUACCCAACUUCUGAGAUCUUAUCGAGAAGCUGCUGAUCAUCAGUUUCAAGUGUUUUCCAUCUAUCUGGAGACUGCCUUUCCCUGAUGCUGGCUGCAACCAAUUACUAUUUUAGAGACAAGUUUAACAACCACCUGACCAUCACCUGAUGGUUGCCUAACAUUCCCGGUGGUGGGGUUGGGGCAGCACUCCUGCCCGGCUCAUGUCUCACUAGCUACCUACUGUAACACCCUUAUUCAACUCUUCCAUACAAGCACUGUUCACAUAGAAUUCUCUUACAGUUCUCUACUUUCUCGUUCUUCAAGCCUAAGUAUCAGUUCUUUGGAACAUCCUCUAUUACUGAGUUCCUCCUCUGGGCUCCCAGAGCAGUGUAUUGUUUUUGUUUAUAUUUGUCUCACCUUUCUUUUGGAAUUUGAGGUCAUAAAGGGCAUUUCUCUAUCCCUCAUGCCUAGCUCAGUGGCUGGCACCCACCCCCUCACUAAGUCGUUGGGUAACAAUGGGAAUGUUGUCUUAUCGUGUGCAAUUUAAAAAUUAUAUCACUAUGGCCAGGCUCAGUGGCUCACGCCUGUAAUCCCAGCACUUUGGGAGGCCGAGGUGGUUGGAUCGUGAGGUCAGGAGUUCGAGACCAGCCUGGCCAAUAUGGUGAAACCCCGUCUCUACUAAUAAUACAAAAAUUAGCUGGGUGUGGUGGCUCACGCCUGUAGUCCCAGCUACUCGGGAGCCUGAGGCAGAAGAAUCGCUUGAACCCGGAAGGUGGAGGUUGCAGUGAGCCAAGAUCAUGCCACUGCACUCCAGCCUGGAUGACAGAGCCAGACUCCAUCUCAUAAAAAAAAAAAAAAAAAAGAAAAGAAAAAGAAAGCAAACUUCAAAAGACUGUGCUACCUUUUGUAUACUGUGCUACCUUUUGUAUAAGGAAGAAGGGGAAAUAUGAAGACAUAAAUGUAUCUGCAGGUUUUUGCCAAGAAAAACAAAGUAUAAAUCAGAAACUCAUCAAAUUGAUUACCUGUGAUGGGGGGAUGGGGGAAAAUGAGGAUUGCUUGAGCUCAGGAGGUCCUGGCUGCAGUGAGCCGUGAUCUUGCCACUGUACUCCAGCCUGAGCGACAGAACGAGACCCUAUCUCAAAAUAAAAACAAAACAGACAAUAUGGGGAAAAUUGAUAAAUUUGGAAUAUAGACUACAAAGUAUUGCAUCCAUUAUAAAUUUCCUGAAUGUGUUAUGACUCUACUGGAGAUAUGGAAGGAUGUAUUCUUUUUUGUGGUUGUUGAGACAGGGUCUCGCUCUUGUCACCCAGGCUGGAGUGCAGCAGUGGGGUCUUGGCUCAAUGCAGCCUCCACCUCCCAGGCUUAAGAGAUCCUCCCACCUUAGUCUCCCAAGUAGUUGUGGCUGGAACUAUAGGUGUGCACCACCACGCCCAGCUAAUUUUUUGUUUCUUGUUUUUUUUUUCUUUUGGUAAAGAUGGGGUUUUGCUGUGUUGCCCAUGCUGGUCUUGAACUGCUGGCCUCAAGCUAUCCACCUGCCUCUGCCUCCCAAAGUGUUGGGAUCACAGGUGUGAGCCACCAUGUCCGGCCAGGGUGUUUUUUUGUUUUGUUUUGUUUUUUGUUUUUUGAGACAGAGUCUCCCUCCCUCUUGUCACCCAGGCUGCAGUGCAGUGGUGAGAUCCCGGCUCACUGCAACCUCCGCCUCCUGGGUUCAAGUGAUUCUCCUGCCUCAGCCUCCCGAGUAGCUGGGAUUACAGGCGUGUGCCACCACGCCCGGCUAAUUUUGUAUUUUUAGUAGAGAGGGGGUUUCUCCAUGUUAGUCAGGCUGGUCUUGAACUCCUGACCUCAGGUGAUCCACCCUCCUUGGCCUCCCAAAGUGCUGGGAUUACAGGCGUGAGCCACUGCGCCUGGCCUAAUUUUUGUAUUUUUAGUAGAUACGGGGUUUCACCACAUUAGCUAGGCUGGUCUUGAACUCCUGACCUCAGGUGAUCUGCCCACCUUGGCCUCCCAAAGUGCUGGGAUUACAGGCGUGAGCCACCAAGCCCAGCCCAGGGUAUAUUCUUAGUAAAUAUAUAAAGAAGUAUGAUGGGGCAAGAGAGUGUGAUAGAUGCAACCUACUCUCAAAUGUUUCCAAAAGGCCAGGUGUGGUGGCUCAUGCCUGUAAUCCCAGCACUUUGGGAGGCUGAGGUGGGUGGAUCAUUUGAGGUCAGGAGCUCGAGACCAGCCUGGCCAACAUGGUGAAACCCUGUCUCUACUAAAAUACAAAAAAUUAGCCAGGUGUAGUGGUGCGCGCCUGUAGUUCCAGCUACUCGGGAGGCUGAGGCAGGGGAAUCGCUUUAACCCGGGAGGCAGAGAUUGCAGUGAGCUGAGAUCUUGCCACUGCACUCCAGCCUGGCAACAGAAUGAGUCUCACACACACACAAGGUUUCCAAAAAAGCAUAUAUAUAUAUAUAUAUACAUACACACACACACACACACACGUAUAUAUGUAUAAUAUACACACAGAAAGAGAAAAUGCAAAUGUGGCAAAAUAUUAACAACUGGUGAAUCUGGGUAAAUGUUAUCCUGACAUUCUAGACUUUCCUGGAAACGCUAGCCUUUUAACAUCUCUGUACAUUUGAAAUUGUUUCAAAAUAAAGAAUUUGAAGCCCGGGCACGGUGGCUCACACCUGUAAUCCCAGCACUUUGGUAGGCCGAGGUGGGCGGAUCACCCGAGGUCAGGAGUUCAAGACCAGCCUGAGCAACAUGGAGAAACCCCAUCUCUACUAAAAAUACAAAAUUAGCUGGGCAUGGUGGUGCAUGCCUGUAAUCCCAGCUACUCGGGAGGCUGAGGCAGGAGAAUCGCUUGAACCUGGGACACAGAGGUUGCAAUGAGCUGAGAUCAUGCCAUUGCACUCCAGCCUGGGCAACAAGAGUGAAACUCUGUCUCAAAAAAAAAAAAAAAGAAUUUGCACAUAAAUAGUAAAAUUAGUUCAAAGCUUUUGGAAAUAUAAAAAUAGUAAAAAUUGGCUGGGCACAGUGGCUCACGCCUGUAAUCCCAGCCCUUUGGGAGGCCAAGGCAGGCAGAUCACGAGGUCAGGAUAUCGAGACCAUCCUGGCUAACAUGGUGAAAACCCAUCGCUACUAAAAAUACAAAAAAAUUAGCCAGGAAUGGUGGUGGGCGCCUGUAGUCCCAGCUAUUCGGGAGGCUGAGGCAGGAGAAUGGCGUGAACCCGGGAAGCGGAGCUUGCAGUGAGCUGAGACGGCGCCACUGCACUUCAGUCUGGGUGACAGAGCAAGACUCUGUCUCAAAAAAAAAAAAAAGUAAAAAUUGUCCAGGCGCAGUGGCUCAUGCCUGUAAUCCCAGCACUUUGGGAGGCUGAGGCAGGCAGAUCACUUGAGGUAAGGAGUUCAAGACCAGCCUGGCCAACAUGGUGAAACUCCAUCUCUACUAAAAAUACAAAAAUUAGCUGGGCCUGUUGGCAGGCGCCUGUAAUCCCAGCUACUCGGGAGGCUGAGGCAGGAGAAUCGCUUGACCCUGGGAGGUGGACAGAGGUUGCAGUGAGCCGAGAUCAUGCCACUGCACUCCAGCCUGUGCGACAGGUGGAGACUCCAUCUCAAAACAAAAACAGAAAAAAACCCCAACAAACAGAUGAAUGGAUAAAGAAAAUGUGGUACAUAUAUAUAAUGGAGUACUAUUCAGCCAUAAAAAAGAAUGAGAUCCUGUCAUAUGUGACAACAUGAAUGGAACUCGAGGUCAUGAUGCUAAGUGAAAUAAGGUGGGCACAGAGACAAGCUUCAAAAGUUUUCACUUAUUUGUGGGAGCCAAAAAUGAAAAACAGUUGAACUCCUGGAGACAGAGAGUAGAAGGAUGGUUACCAGAGAUUGGGAAGGGUAAUGGAGGCAGGGAAGGCGGAAUGGUUAAUGGGUACAGAGAUAUAGUUAGAUAGAAUAAAUAAGAUCUAGUAUUUGUUUGUAAUGACUUCUGGAUUAAGCAUUUUAAAAAAGAUCUUAGCUGGGCGUGGUGGCGCACGCCUGUAGUCCCAGCUACUCGGGAGGAUGAGACAGGAGGAUUGCUUGAGCCUGCUGGGAGGUCAAGGCUGCAGUGAGCAGAGAUCACGCCACUGCACUCCAGCCUGAGUAAUACAGAGAGACCCUGUCAAAAAAAAAAAAAAAGAUUAAAAAAAUUACUUGAUAGCACAACAGGGUGACUACAGUCAAAAAUAAUUUAUUGUACAUUUAAAAAUAACUAAAAGAGGGCCAGGCAUGGUGGCUCACACCUGUCAUCCCAGCACUUUGGGAGGCCGAGGCGGGUGGAUCACUUGAGGUCAGGAGUUCGAGACCAGCCUGGCCCACAUGGUGAAACCCCGUCUCUACUAAAAAUACAAAACUCAGCGAGGUGUGGUGGUGGGUGCCUGUAAUCCCAGCUACUCGGGAGGCUGAGACAGGAGAAUUGCUUAAACCUGGAAGGCAGAGGCUGGGUGUGGUGGCUCACGCCUGUAAUCCCAGCACUUUGGGAGGCCAAGGCAGGUGGAUCAUGAGGUCAGGAGUUCGAGACCAGCCUGACCAACAUGGUGAAACCCCCGUCUCUACUUAAAAUACAAAAAUUAGCCAGGCAUGGUGGUGCACGACUGUAAUCCCAUCUACUCAGGAGGCUGAGGCAGGAGAAUCACUUGAACACGCAAGGCGGAGGUUGCAGUGAGCCGAGAUUGCACCACUGCCCUCCAGCCUGGGCAACAGAGAAAGACUGUCUCAAAACAAACAAACAAAAAAACCUGGAAGGCAGAGGUUGCCGUGAGCCAGGAUCUCACCACUGCACUCCAGCCUGGGCGACAGACUGAGACUCCAUCUCAAAAAAAAAAGGCUGGUCGUGGUGGCUCACGCCUGUAACCCCAGCACUUGGGGAGGCUGAGGUGGGCACAUCACCUGAGGUUGGGAGUUUGAGACCAGCCUAACCAACAUGGAGAAAUCUCUACUAAAAAUACAAAAUUAGUUGGGUGUGGUGGUGCAUGCCUUUAAUCCCAGCUACUUGGGAGCCUGACGCAGGAGAAUCGCUUGAACCCAGAGGCAGAAAUUGCAGUGAACCGAGAUCGUGCCAUUGCACCCCAGACUGGGUGACAAAAGUGAAACUCUGUCUCAAAAAACAAACAAACAAACAAAAAACCCUAAACUAAGAGAGUUUAAUUUGAUUCUUUGUAACACAAAGGAUAAAUGUCGGAGGUGCUGGAUACCACAUUUACCCUGAUGUGAUUGUUAUGUAUUGUGUGCCUGUAUCAAAAUAUCUCAUGUACCUUGUAAAUAUAUACACCUACUACAUUCCCACAAAAAAUAAAAAUAAAAAACUAAAAAAAGAGAUAGUUAUCUUUCAUACAAGGAAAGUUCUCACAGUUUCUCCAAAAUGAGACUCGCUGUCAUAAUGGUCAUUGCACCAGUUGCUGGCUAUUUUAAUUACUCCUCAAAUUAAGUCAUAGUCUUGAAUGUUCUGCUACCUAAAGGCCGAAUUGUAGAGCUAACCUCCAAUAACUUGUAUAAAAAAUAAAAACGAGGAGAGAAAAAAAAGAAAGCUCUUUCCACCAUCUUCCCCUGCCACCAAAAUGGUGCAUAUGACUGUCCCAGCUGAUGCUCUCAAGAACAUCGACAGGCUGGGUGCUAUGGCUCAUGCCUGUAAUCCCAGCACUUUGGGAGGCUGAGGCAGGCAGAUCAUGAGGUCAAGAGAUCAAGACCAUCCUGGCCAACAUGGUGAAAUCCUGUCUCUACUAAAAAUACAAAACUUAGCUGGGUGUGGUGGCGCACGCCUGUAAUCCUAGCUACACGGGAGGCAGGGGCAGGAGAAUCGCUUGAACCCAGGAGGCAAAGGUUGCAGUGAGCCGAGAUCGCACCAUUGCGCUCCAGCCUGGCGAAAGAGGGAGACUCCGUCUCAAAAAGAAAAAAAAAAAAAAAUCAACGAUGCCAAAAAGAGAGGCAAAAUGCCAGGUUCUUAUUAGGCCGUUCUCCAAAGUCAUUGUCCAGUUUCUAACUGUGAUGAUGAAGCAUGGUUACAUUGGCGAAUUUGAAAUCACUGAUGAUCACACAGCUGGGAAAAUUACUGUAAACCUCACAGGCAGGCUAAACGUGGGAUCAGCCCCAGAUUUGAUGUGCAAAGAUCUAGAAAAUGGCAGAAUGAUCUGCUUCCAUCCCGCCAGUUUGGUUUCAUUGUACUGACAACCUCAGCUGGCAUCAUGGACCAUGAAGAAGCAAGACGAAAACACACAGGAAGGAAAAUCCUGGGACUCUUUUUCUAGAGAUGUAACACAUAUUUACAAAUAAAAUGCCUAUGGACCAAAUAAAAAAAAAAGAUGGCUAGCAUGUACAAAUAAAGACAUGAAUAUAUUAUGCAAAAAGGGGCCAGGUGAGGUGGCUCACGCCUGUAAUCUCAGGACUUUGGGAGGCCAAGACGGGCAGAUCACUUGAGGUCAGGAGUUUGAGACCAGCCUGGCCAACAUGGUGAAACUCCGUCUCUACUAAAAAAUACAGAAAUUAGCCAAGCAUGGUGGCACAUGCCUGUAAUCCCAGCUACUCGGGAGGCUGAGGCAGGAGAAUUGCUUGAACCCGGGAGGCAGAGGUUGUAGUGAGCCGAGAUUGAGCCACUGAACUCCAGCCUGGGCGACAGAGUGAGACUCCAUCUCAAAAAAAAAAAAAAAAAAAAAAGCAAAAAGGAAA
Long non-coding RNA from Pan troglodytes (chimpanzee), 6815 nucleotides. RefSeq lists it as uncharacterized. The record is from RefSeq and is a predicted model, not a curated record. The transcript has 2 exons. Lineage: Eukaryota; Metazoa; Chordata; Mammalia; Primates; Hominidae.